UAAAAAACUAAGCGGCCUGUGCUGGGGGCAGAAAUGCUGCAGGGCGGUAACAGUGAACCCCUCCUCCUCCCCCUGUGUCCUCAGGGUGCACCGCCAGCUGAUCAGGCUGUUCGCCCGAGGGAUCGAGCAGGCAUCCCCUCUGGAGGACAUCGGCUCGCACUGAACCGCGCGCGCAACAGGAGUCGCCCCUGGAGUACACUGGGGUUCAAAGGUCGCUUCGGUGACAUUCUACUGUUGUCUUAGUUACAGAGGAGAGCAACCUGCAGUUUAGUCAUCAACCUCAGCUCUGGGUUUACGUGUGUGUGUGUGUGUGUGUGUCUGUGCUUGAAGUCUCAGGUCACUGUGUACAGUGUUGUGCGUCUGGGACCACCGCAAUGAAUCUCCAAACAUUUCAUGAAAAACAUCUGAGCGGACUACAAAUGGCCGUGGAGGUUUUCCAGAACUACGAUGAGAACGCCGUGGUGAACGACAGGCAGUGUGCGCAUCUGCACGCGCUCAUACUGACUGAGAUAGACUGUCAUACGCUGUGGGCUCUGAUAAAAUGAAACUGCCCUGGUGUGGCUUCGUCAGCCGACAGAAGGCGUGUCCGUGAAUGUUUAGUUGUCCUCACGCCAGACACUGAAAAUGAAACUUCUUUUUGUUUGCUUUUCUGUGACAAGCCACCGUUAGAAGUGGAGUUUGCAGUUCCGUGCUUUAAUGGAUUAUGACUGAAGAUGAAGGGCCGGGUCCGUUAUAUCGAGCUCCCUCUUCUUUGGUCAUGUCUUAUUAGUCAUACUGCAUCUGCCAGAAUGGGCACUCUAUUAAAUUGGCUGUUAAAAUAGCAGAUAUUAAACUGUGAGGGUUAGCAUUCAUGGACACGCCAUUUAAGGAUACGUAGAGAUUUUAAUCUUGUGCCACGCUCGUAAAUGCGAAACAAGAGAUACUGAUAUGGUUCUGACAGGUUAAUCAGUGUUUACUGUGAGCAGCUCACUGGUGGAAAUGCCAAAAAAAAAACUACCCCCAAUAUUGUGACAGAAUUACAUAUUCAGUCAAACUCCAGAGCAACUAGUACAACCUACUGGCAGUUAUCCUACAGAACAGUGCUGAAUGUAGAUGGAACAUUUACCCAGUGCUCUUAACUGUGAUAUACAACUCUUCAUUGCAUUUCAUGUGUUCCAGACAAGAUGUCACUGUGACAUCACUGUGACAUCAUGUGGAACUGUGGCACACUUGUGUAUGGCAUGGUUUGGAGUGCUCUAUUUAGCCUGUCGUAUGAACAGUUCUUCAGAUUCUUGUCUUGAGAAACGUUGUGUCAUAAACGGACAAGGCUAACCCCGAUGCAGCUCAGGUUUUACCCAGAUAUAGCCUGGCUACGUCCAAGUCGGCUAGAAGAUGUUCACUUCUCAGCCUAAUGUAGCCCCCAGCAUUCACCGACUUUUCACCACAAACAUGUCCACUGUGUAUACCAAAGUCUGCCGAAAGGAGUCAAUGCAAAUAAACACUGAUGCUGGCCUUUAAGGACUCAAGCAACACCAAACCCUACAUCCAUGCUGGCAAAACAGUACGUCUUAACAUGCUGAAAUGGUUUUGGUUGGACAUUUCAAGUAUUCAACCAGCAAUGGUUGAUUAUGAAAUACAAAAAGAAAAACAUUUCAACUAAUUUUUUUUUAGAUGAAAUGCAAGGUAAAUGUAAAUUGUAAGGUAAACUACUGACUUCUUUUCUUUAGGCCUAAUCUGCCUGUGUAAGAAGAAUGCUCAAAGGGCUCCCGACCUUGGUGGCAUUUUCAAGUAAACUUCACUGAUGCAGCUGAUAUGCAGGAUUGUUAAUAAGCAAUACUUCUGAAAUGGCACUUUCUAAAUAAGUCCCGUUGGCCUGCGGCGUCUAUAAAUUUAUUCCAACCAGGCCCUCGGUAACCUAAUGUAGCAAAAAGAGCCCUCUUGCUUCGACUACUUCAGUUUAGUGCUUCAAUAAAGAACUGGAGAAACAGCUGGACUGUGGCCCUCCAGGAUCCUGUGCUGUUGGCUCUGUGUUUAUUCAAUGCAUUAUGGGAGACUUCUUGCCGCACUUUUGAGUUUCAUUAUCACUGUAAAGCAUGUUAACUCUGCGGCAGCUGUGGCUGCGAUUCUGUCCUUCUGUGUGUGUGUGUGUGUGUGUGUGUGUGUGUGUGUUGUCCCCUCUGUAUUGAACUGGAUGUACUGGAUGCAUGUUUGACUGUAUUUCAGGACUAUUGUUAUAAAGAGAGAAAGAGGGACGUCAUUACUAAAGUGAUAUAUCUUGA
Anguilla rostrata (American eel) is the source of this 2258-nucleotide long non-coding RNA. RefSeq lists it as uncharacterized. The record is from RefSeq and is a predicted model, not a curated record. The transcript has 2 exons. Lineage: Eukaryota; Metazoa; Chordata; Actinopteri; Anguilliformes; Anguillidae.